AUAUAUAAAGUUGGACUGGACUACUAUUAGUAGCAAAAUUCUAUUGUUGCUACCAGGUUUGUAGCCUUUGGAUCAACUCUUUUCGUUAUUUCUAACCAUUGGAUUAAAUACUAUAACCCAGUGGGGACCGCUCAACCCUAGGGGGCUACUCAAAUCUAACCGACUAAUAUCAUCCUAACCUUACAAUUUUUCAUCCAAGGGUUAAAAACUUGAUAGCAAAAAGAACGUUUUACUAUUAAUAGUAUUCCAGCCUAAUUCUAUAUAUAUAUAUAUAUUCAAAAUUAUCAAUACUAUUUUUACCACUAUAUAUUAAUGAAAUAUAUCACGCUGAUU
RNAcentral lists this long non-coding RNA (333 nucleotides) under Ananas comosus (pineapple). RNAcentral's name for it is "long non-coding RNA (ACOM_LNC009755)". The record is from RNAcentral. Lineage: Eukaryota; Viridiplantae; Streptophyta; Magnoliopsida; Poales; Bromeliaceae.